GACAGAGGUCUCGAGCGUUAGGCGGAAUCACUGGGCUUAAAGCGUGUGUAGGCGGACUUCUAAGUGCCUUGUGAAAUCCCACGGCUCAACCGUGGAACUGCUUGGCAUACUGGUUGUCUUGGGCCAUCUAGGGGCUACUGGAACAAACGGUGGAGCGGUGAAAUGCGUAGAUAUCGUUUGGAACGCCAAUGGUGAAAACAAGUAGCUGGGGAUGUGCCGACGCUGAGACACGAAAGCCAGGGGAGCGAACGGG
RNAcentral lists this ribosomal RNA (253 nucleotides) under uncultured bacterium. RNAcentral describes it as "partial 16S ribosomal RNA". It matches the Rfam family "Bacterial small subunit ribosomal RNA", at positions 524 to 776 of the family's 1533-position model. The record is from RNAcentral.